RNAcentral lists this small nuclear RNA (107 nucleotides) under Meriones unguiculatus (Mongolian gerbil). Lineage: Eukaryota; Metazoa; Chordata; Mammalia; Rodentia; Muridae. The record is from RNAcentral.
GUGCUUGCUUUGGCAGCACAUGUACUAAAAGUGGAACGAUAAGGAAAAGAUUAGCAUGGCCCCUGUGCAAGGAUGACAGGCAAAUUUGUGAAGUAUUCCACAUUUUU